Long non-coding RNA from Amphimedon queenslandica, 250 nucleotides. RefSeq lists it as uncharacterized. The transcript has 3 exons. The record is from RefSeq and is a predicted model, not a curated record. NCBI's taxonomy places the organism in Eukaryota, Metazoa, Porifera, Demospongiae, Haplosclerida, Niphatidae.
UGUAUAGUGCUGGAACACGGCCUACGUGCAUAAAGGAAAUGGUGGAAAAGGCCUUAUAGUAACUGUGGGUUUAUACACUGUGGGCAUAAAAUGCCAGUCUAGAAACUACUCAAUCAUCAGGAACUACUGCAGUAUCAUAUUGUUCAUCAUCUACUGUGUCUGAUGCUGUUCUUGAUGCUGCUCCUAAAAUAAUGCAGGUGGUAAUGUUUCUAAAACCAUUUGAAUCACAGUGGCGUAUGAUAAGAUUAUG